This 468-nucleotide ribosomal RNA is filed under the name uncultured bacterium. Its description in RNAcentral is "partial 16S ribosomal RNA". It matches the Rfam family "Bacterial small subunit ribosomal RNA", at positions 28 to 507 of the family's 1533-position model. The record is from RNAcentral.
GACGAACGCUGGCGGCGUGCUUAACACAUGCAAGUCGAACGGAAAGGCCCUGCUUUUGUGGGGUGCUCGAGUGGCGAACGGGUGAGUAACACGUGAGUAACCUGCCCUUGACUUUGGGAUAACUUCAGGAAACUGGGGCUAAUACCGGAUAGGAGCUCCUACUGCAUGGUGGGGGUUGGAAAGUUUCGGCGGUUGGGGAUGGACUCGCGGCUUAUCAGCUUGUUGGUGGGGUAGUGGCUUACCAAGGCUUUGACGGGUAGCCGGCCUGAGAGGGUGACCGGCCACAUUGGAACUGAGAUACGGCCCAGACUCCUACGGGAGGCAGCAGUGGGGAAUAUUGCACAAUGGGCGGAAGCCUGAUGCAGCAACGCCGCGUGCGGGAUGACGGCCUUCGGGUUGUAAACCGCUUUCGCCUGUGACGAAGCGUGAGUGACGGUAAUGGGUAAAGAAGCACCGGCUAACUACGUG